RNAcentral lists this ribosomal RNA (208 nucleotides) under Geometra papilionaria. Its description in RNAcentral is "partial large subunit ribosomal RNA". Lineage: Eukaryota; Metazoa; Arthropoda; Insecta; Lepidoptera; Geometridae. The record is from RNAcentral.
UUUUUACACGUUUAGAGUUUUACACUCUGACGAUAUGGGAGGAGAAGACCCCAUAGAGUUUUAUAAAUAAUUUGAUUGAGGUGAUUUAAAUAUAAAAAGAUUAAAAUAAAAUUAAUUAUUUUAUUGGGGUGAUAGAAAAAUAAAUAUUACUUUUUUUAAAAAUUAAAACAUUUAUAAGUGAUUAAAUGAUCCAAUAUUAUUGAUUAUA